AACGAACGCUGGCGGCAUGCCUAACACAUGCAAGUCGAACGAGAUCUUCGGGUCUAGUGGCGCACGGGUGCGUAACGCGUGGGAAUCUGCCCUUUGGUUCGGAAUAACAGUUGGAAACGACUGCUAAUACCGGAUGAUGACGAAAGUCCAAAGAUUUAUCGCCAGAGGAUGAGCCCGCGUAGGAUUAGCUAGUUGGCGUGGUAAAGGCGCACCAAGGCGACGAUCCUUAGCUGGUCUGAGAGGAUGAUCAGCCACACUGGGACUGAGACACGGCCCAGACUCCUACAGGAGGCAGCAGUGGGGAAUAUUGGACAAUGGGCGAAAGCCUGAUCCAGCAAUGCCGCGUGAGUGAUGAAGGCCUUAGGGUUGUAAAGCUCUUUUACCCGGGAUGAUAAUGACAGUACCGGGAGAAUAAGCUCCGGCUAACUCCGUGCCAGCCGCCGCAGUAA
Molecule: ribosomal RNA, 449 nt
Filed under: uncultured bacterium
Lineage: Bacteria
Description: partial 16S ribosomal RNA
Rfam family: Bacterial small subunit ribosomal RNA
Source: RNAcentral